CCUAAUGUGGGAUGCCUAAUCCCUUUGGGUAUAAGCUAGGUGGCGCUAAAUGUUGUUGCCAUUCCUAUAUGGUUUGGGUUUUCCAUAUAGCACAAGGAGUUUGAAUUUGAUUCAAAUUAAUUAAACCUGAUCUUCAAGUGGAAUUUGGAAUUUAAGAGUCCUAAUUAGAUUAGGACUAAAGAUUUUAAAUGUGUAUAUAAGGAGGGCUAUGGACAAGGGGUGGCAACAAGAGAAAGAAGAAGGCUGCAUAGGGC
RNAcentral lists this long non-coding RNA (254 nucleotides) under Elaeis guineensis (African oil palm). Its description in RNAcentral is "long non-coding RNA (EGUI_LNC050409)". The record is from RNAcentral. Lineage: Eukaryota; Viridiplantae; Streptophyta; Magnoliopsida; Arecales; Arecaceae.